CCCCGGUAAACGGCGGCCGUAACUAUAACGGUCCUAAGGUAGCGAAAUUCCUUGUCGGGUAAGUUCCGACCUGCACGAAUGGCGUAAUGAUGGCCAGGCUGUCUCCACCCGAGACUCAGUGAAAUUGAACUCGCUGUGAAGAUGCAGUGUACCCGCGGCAAGACGGAAAGACCCCGUGAACCUUUACUAUAGCUUGACACUGAACAUUGAGCCUUGAUGUGUAGGAUAGGUGGGAGGCUUUGAAGUGUGGACGCCAGUCUGCAUGGAGCCGACCUUGAAAUACCACCCUUUAAUGUUUGAUGUUCUAACGUGGACCCGUAAUCCGGGUUGCGGACAGUGUCUGGUGGGUAGUUUGACUGGGGCGGUCUCCUCCUAAAGAGUAACGGAGGAGCACGAAGGUUGGCUAAUCCUGGUCGGACAUCAGGAGGUUAGUGCAAUGGCAUAAGCCAGCUUGACUGCGAGCGUGACGGCGCGAGCAGGUGCGAAAGCAGGUCAUAGUGAUCCGGUGGUUCUGAAUGGAAGGGCCAUCGCUCAACGGAUAAAAGGUACUCCGGGGAUAACAGGCUGAUACCGCCCAAGAGUUCAUAUCGACGGCGGUGUUUGGCACCUCGAUGUCGGCUCAUCACAUCCUGGGGCUGAAGUAGGUCCCAAGGGUAUGGCUGUUCGCCAUUUAAAGUGGUACGCGAGCUGGGUUUAGAACGUCGUGAGACAGUUCGGUCCCUAUCUGCCGUGGGCGCUGGAGAACU
This 746-nucleotide ribosomal RNA is filed under the name Salmonella enterica. RNAcentral describes it as "partial 23S ribosomal RNA". It matches the Rfam family "Bacterial large subunit ribosomal RNA", at positions 1918 to 2663 of the family's 2925-position model. RNAcentral also lists the same sequence under 1 other name. Lineage: Bacteria; Pseudomonadati; Pseudomonadota; Gammaproteobacteria; Enterobacterales; Enterobacteriaceae. The record is from RNAcentral.